Molecule: ribosomal RNA, 434 nt
Filed under: uncultured bacterium
Lineage: Bacteria
Description: partial 16S ribosomal RNA
Rfam family: Bacterial small subunit ribosomal RNA
Source: RNAcentral
AUGAACGCUGGCGGUCUGCUUCACCCCUGCCAGUCGAACGGACUCUUCGGAGUUAGUGGCGGACGGGUGAGUAACGCGUGAGAAUCUGGCUUUGGGUUCGGGACAACCACUGGAAACGGUGGCUAAUACCGGAUGUGCCGAGAGGUAAAAGAGAAAUUGCCUGAAGAUGAGCUCGCGUCUGAUUAGCUAGUUGGUGAGGUAAAGGCUCACCAAGACAGCGAUCAGUAGCUGGUCUGAGAGGAUGACCAGCCACACUGGGACUGAGACACGGCCCAGACUCCUACGGGAGGCAGCAGUGGGGAAUUUUCCGCAAUGGGCGAAAGCCUGACGGAGCAAUACCGCGUGAGGGAAGAAGGCUCUUGGGUUGUAAACCUCUUUUCUUAGGGAAGAACAAAAUGACGGUACCUAAGGAAUCAGCAUCGGCUAACUCCGUG